RNAcentral lists this non-coding RNA (768 nucleotides) under Pongo abelii (Sumatran orangutan). Lineage: Eukaryota; Metazoa; Chordata; Mammalia; Primates; Hominidae. The record is from RNAcentral.
CUCUGUGACUGGCUUGCUUGAUAGUUAGGGUCUGAUUGCUGCCUGAGACACCAUAUCGGUACUCCUCAGAGUUGGUGAUCACAGGAUCUGGUUUGCCACUGAAAGGAAUCUUGAUGCUGACCACUUCACCUCGGAGAGCAUGAACUGCUCCCAUGCCUUCAAGAGUUUUAGUGGGUAACCAGGAUGGAACUGUGGUGUUGCUUGCAGGAGAAGCUUACUACUGGUUUCUACUUCUCCAACCUCAUUGGUGGCUAUGCAGCAGGCUCACCAGGUCCACCAGCAUUACAAGCUAGGACGCGGAACCUGUAUUCCGCACCCUGAGAAUCAGAGGUGGGGAGAGUGGUGGAAGGGCCUGUGGACUUACGGAUGCUGCUGCGACACUCUAUGACCUCAGACUGCAAGUAAGAGCCAAUCCCGAAGCGGUUUGUUGCAGCCACACGGAACACAUACUCAUUUCCUUCAAGAAUAGACACCUUGAUGGCUCCUCUGGCAGUUCUUGAUGACCAUGGAUGAGCUAAUGGCUGUGGUCUCAAUGGUGGCUUCUUGAGGUAAGGUUCUUUCAUUCAUGUUCCAGGUGACGGUUGGAGGAGGCUUUCCAGACACAUAGGCAAUGAUUCGGAUCACCCCUCCAGCAUGGACGACAAUUCUAUCUCUGACACUGGCAUCUAGCUGAAGGUCAGGUAAAACUGGAAGCAAUUGAAAAUUACAAAUGUGAUUUUUCCCCUUCAAUCUGAAACAUAAAUACUGAUGGCAUAAAAGAAGGAUUGA